UACGGAGGACCCAAGCGUUAUUCGGAUUUAUUGGGUUUAAAGGGUGCGUAGGCGGAUUGGUAAGUCAGAGGUGAAAUCCCACAGCUUAACUGUGGAACUGCCUUUGAUACUGCCAACCUUGAGUGCAGAUGAUGUGGGCGGAAUAUGACAUGUAGCGGUGAAAUGCUUAGAUAUGUCAUAGAACACCGAUUGCGAAGGCAGCUCACAAAACUGUAACUGACGCUGAGGCACGAAAGCAUGGGGAUCGAACAGG
This 253-nucleotide ribosomal RNA is filed under the name uncultured bacterium. RNAcentral describes it as "partial 16S ribosomal RNA". It matches the Rfam family "Bacterial small subunit ribosomal RNA", at positions 524 to 776 of the family's 1533-position model. The record is from RNAcentral.